UUAAGUUAAUAAGGGCGCACGGUGGAUGCCUUGGCACUAGGAGCCGACGAAGGACGUGACAAACGACGAUAUGCCUUGGGUAGCUGUAAGUAAGCGAUGAUCCAGGGAUUUCCGAAUGGGGGAACCCAACAGGUAAUACCUGUUACCUACAUCUGUUAAGGAUGUGAGGAGGAAGACGCAGUGAACUGAAACAUCUAAGUAGCUGCAGGAAGAGAAAGCAAAAGCGAUUGCCUUAGUAGCGGCGAGCGAAACGGCAGAAGGGCAAACCGAAGAGUUUACUCUUCGGGGUUGUAGGACUGCAAUGUGGACUCAAAGAUUAUAGAAGAAUGAUUUGGGAAGAUCAGCCAAAGAGAGUAAUAGCCUCGUAUUUAAAAUAGUCUUUGUACUUAGCAGUAUCCUGAGUACGGCGGGACACGUGAAAUCCCGUCGGAAUCUGGGAGGACCAUCUCCCAACCCUAAAUACUCCCUAGUGACCGAUAGUGAACCAGUACCGUGAGGGAAAGGUGAAAAGCACCCCGGGAGGGGAGUGAAAUAGAACCUGAAACCGUGUGCCUACAACAAGUUCGAGCCCGUUAAUGGGUGAGAGCGUGCCUUUUGUAGAAUGAACCGGCGAGUUACGUUAUGAUGCGAGGUUAAGUUGAAGAGACGGAGCCGUAGGGAAACCGAGUCUGAAUAGGGCGCCUUAGUAUCAUGACGUAGACCCGAAACCAUGUGACCUACCCAUGAGCAGGUUGAAGGUGCGGUAAGACGCACUGGAGGACCGAACCAGGGCACGUUGAAAAGUGCUUGGAUGACUUGUGGGUAGCGGAGAAAUUCCAAACGAACUUGGAGAUAGCUGGUUCUCUCCGAAAUAGCUUUAGGGCUAGCGUCGACAUUAGAGAUUCUUGGAGGUAGAGCACUGUUUGGGUGAGGGGUCCAUCCCGGAUUACCAAUCUCAGAUAAACUCCGAAUGCCAAUGAAUUAUGGUCGGCAGUCAGACUGCGAGUGCUAAGAUCCGUAGUCGAAAGGGAAACAGCCCAGACCACCAGCUAGGGUCCCAAAAUAAUUGUUAAGUGGAAAAGGAUGUGGGGUUGCACAGACAACUAGGAUGUUAGCUUAGAAGCAGCUAUUCAUUCAAAGAGUGCGUAAUAGCUCACUAGUCGAGUGACCCUGCGCCGAAAAUGUACCGGGGCUAAAACAAUUUACCGAAGCUGUGGAUACCUUUAUAGGUAUGGUAGGAGAGCGUUCUAUGUGUGAUGAAGGUAUACCGUGAGGAGUGCUGGAACGCAUAGAAGUGAGAAUGCCGGUAUGAGUAGCGAAAGACAGGUGAGAAUCCUGUCCACCGUAAGACUAAGGUUUCCAGGGGAAGGCUCGUCCGCCCUGGGUUAGUCGGGACCUAAGGAGAGACCGAAAGGUGUAUCCGAUGGACAACAGGUUGAUAUUCCUGUACUAGAGUAUGUAGUGAUGGAGGGACGCAGUAGGCUAACUAAAGCAGACGAUUGGAAGAGUCUGUCUAAGCAGUGAGGUGUGAAUUGAGUCAAAUGCUUAAUUCUAUAACAUUGAGCUGUGAUGGGGAGCGAAGUUUAGUAGCGAAGUUAGUGACGUCACACUGCCAAGAAAAGCUUCUAGCGUUUAAACAUACUCUACCCGUACCGCAAACCGACACAGGUAGUCGAGGCGAGUAGCCUCAGGUGAGCGAGAGAACUCUCGUUAAGGAACUCGGCAAAAUGACCCCGUAACUUCGGGAGAAGGGGUGCUGACUUAAAGUCAGCCGCAGUGAAUAGGCCCAAGCAACUGUUUAUCAAAAACACAGCUCUCUGCUAAAUCGUAAGAUGAUGUAUAGGGGGUGACGCCUGCCCGGUGCUGGAAGGUUAAGAGGAGUGCUUAGCGUAAGCGAAGGUAUGAAUUGAAGCCCCAGUAAACGGCGGCCGUAACUAUAACGGUCCUAAGGUAGCGAAAUUCCUUGUCGGGUAAGUUCCGACCCGCACGAAAGGCGUAAUGAUUUGGGCACGUGUCUCAACGAGAGACUCGGUGAAAUUUUAGUACCUGUGAAGAUGCAGGUUACCCGCGACAGGACGGAAGGACCCCAUGGAGCUUUACUGCAGUUUGAUAUUGAGUGUCUGUACCACAUGUACAGGAUAGGUAGGAGUCUAAGAGAUCGGGACGCCAGUUUCGAAGGAGACGCUGUUGGGAUACUACCCUUGUGUUAUGGCCACUCUAACCCAGAUAGGUGAUCCCUAUCGGAGACAGUGUCUGACGGGCAGUUUGACUGGGGCGGUCGCCUCCUAAAAGGUAACGGAGGCGCCCAAAGGCUCCCUCAGAAUGGUUGGAAAUCAUUCGCAGAGUGUAAAGGUAUAAGGGAGCUUGACUGCGAGAGCUACAACUCGAGCAGGGACGAAAGUCGGGCUUAGUGAUCCGGUGGUUCCGUAUGGAAGGGCCAUCGCUCAACGGAUAAAAGCUACCCUGGGGAUAACAGGCUUAUCUCCCCCAAGAGUUCACAUCGACGGGGAGGUUUGGCACCUCGAUGUCGGCUCGUCGCAUCCUGGGGCUGUAGUCGGUCCCAAGGGUUGGGCUGUUCGCCCAUUAAAGCGGCACGCGAGCUGGGUUCAGAACGUCGUGAGACAGUUCGGUCCCUAUCCGUCGCGGGCGUAGGAAAUUUGAGAGGAUCUGCUCCUAGUACGAGAGGACCAGAGUGGACUUACCGCUGGUGUACCAGUUGUCUUGCCAAAGGCAUCGCUGGGUAGCUAUGUAGGGAAGGGAUAAACGCUGAAAGCAUCUAAGUGUGAAACCCACCUCAAGAUGAGAUUUCCCAUGAUUAUAUAUCAGUAAGAGCCCUGAGAGAUGAUCAGGUAGAUAGGUUAGAAGUGGAAGUGUGGCGACACAUGUAGCGGACUAAUACUAAUAGCUCGAGGACUUAUCCAA
RNAcentral lists this ribosomal RNA (2901 nucleotides) under Streptococcus pneumoniae 6901-05. RNAcentral describes it as "bacterial LSU rRNA". It matches the Rfam family "Bacterial large subunit ribosomal RNA". Lineage: Bacteria; Bacillati; Bacillota; Bacilli; Lactobacillales; Streptococcaceae. The record is from RNAcentral.